Long non-coding RNA from Mustela erminea (ermine), 360 nucleotides. RefSeq lists it as uncharacterized. The transcript is spliced from 4 exons. NCBI's taxonomy places the organism in Eukaryota, Metazoa, Chordata, Mammalia, Carnivora, Mustelidae. The record is from RefSeq and is a predicted model, not a curated record.
AGCUUUGGAGGCUGGGAAGUCCAAGAUCAAGAUCAAGUCCCGUAGAUUCAGUGUCUAGUGAGGGCUGACUUCUUGGUGCUGUGAUGUCUAUGCAGAAUCCUAUAAUGGAUGGAGCUAAAGCAGAAGUGUUUCCAGGACCUGUUGGAGCUCCAAGGUUAACGCAUCCGGGUGCUGAGCACAACCGAGACUUGGAGGGUGACAUGAACAACUAGGACACUGGCCUGCCAGGCUGUGGACGCGCAGAUAGGAUUAACAGCCAAAAAAGAGAAGUAACUAACUCUGAGGUCCAUGGGCCAGAGGCAGCCACGUAGCCCCACUGACUACAAAGGCUGGGAAGUAUACUCAGAAGAUAAAUGGAUG